Long non-coding RNA from Magallana angulata, 542 nucleotides. RefSeq lists it as uncharacterized. The record is from RefSeq and is a predicted model, not a curated record. The transcript has 3 exons. Lineage: Eukaryota; Metazoa; Mollusca; Bivalvia; Ostreida; Ostreidae.
AGACCGACCUUGCUUUGCUACGCCAUGCUAUAAUGGAGGGACGUGCGUUGAGAGUGGAGCAAACUACACGUGCACUUGUAUCCAUGGUUACGACCCCGCCUCAGAUUGCCGGUCAACGAUUGACUUUUAUCUUAGAAACCCUUGUCCCCAUACUAAAGUUUGCUUACCUCACCUCGGGGGUUUCACAUGCGUGUACACGGCAGGAUUUACUGGAACAGAUUGUACUUCUGGUAAUGAAUAACUUACAGUUUUGCACUUAGCUACCUUACCUUACCUACCGUACCUUAACUUCGCAUAUUAGAAUGUACAAAUGUAUUUUGUUGUUACUUUUCAAACUCAGAUAUUGACGAAUGCGCAAGUUCACCAUGUAUCCAUGGCAACUGUUCCGAUAACGUCAAUGGCUACCGAUGUCUGUGUGAUUCAGGAUAUGCAGGCCUUCAUUGUGAAUCAAAUGUCGAUGAGUGUGCCAGCUCACCGUGUAUCCAUGGGAACUGCACUGAUGACGUCAAUAGUUUUCACUGCUCACGUGAUGUCGGUUUCAG